AGAGUUUGAUCAUGGCUCAGAUUGAACGCUGGCGGUAGGCUUAACACAUGCAAGUCGUGCGAGAAAGUACCUUCGGGUGCGAGUAGAGCGGCGGACGGGUGAGUAACGCGUAGGAAUCUACCUAGUAGAAGGGGAUAGCCCGGGGAAACUCGGAUUAAUACCGUAUACCUCCUUAGGGAGAAAGAGGGCCUCUCUUGAUGCUCUCGCUAUUAGAUGGGCCUGCGUAAGAUUAGCUUGUUGGUGAGGUAAUGGCUCACCAAGGCUACGAUCUUUAGCUGGUCUGAGAGGACGAUCAGCCACAUUGGGACUGAGACACGGCCCAGACUCCUACGGGAGGCAGCAGUGGGGAAUAUUGGACAAUGGGCGCAAGCCUGAUCCAGCCAUACCGCGUGUGUGAAGAAGGCUCUAGGGUUGUAAAGCACUUUAAGCAGGGAGAAAAAGCUAUAAGUUAAUACCUUAUAGCCCUGAUGUUACCUGCAGAAUAAGCACCGGCUAAUUCCGUGCCAGCAGCCGCGGUAAUACGGAAGGUGCAAGCGUUAAUCGGAAUUACUGGGCGUAAAGCGCGCGUAGGUGGUUUGUUAAGUUGGAUGUGAAAGCCCUGGGCUCAACCUAGGAACUGCAUCCAAAACUAACUCACUUGAGUACGAUAGAGGGAGGUAGAAUUCAUAGUGUAGCGGUGGAAUGCGUAGAUAUUAUGAAGAAUACCAGUGGCGAAGGCGGCCUCCUGGAUCUGUACUGUCACUGAGGUGCGAAAGCGUGGGUAGCGAACAGGAUUAGAUACCCUGGUAGUCCACGCCGUAAACGAUGACAUCUAGCCUGUUGCGACGACUAAAGUCUUUCAGUGGCGCAGCUAACGUUUUAAGUUGUCCGGCCUGGGGAGUACUGGC
RNAcentral lists this ribosomal RNA (887 nucleotides) under uncultured bacterium. RNAcentral's name for it is "bacterial SSU rRNA". It matches the Rfam family "Bacterial small subunit ribosomal RNA", at positions 8 to 887 of the family's 1533-position model. The record is from RNAcentral.